Molecule: ribosomal RNA, 497 nt
Filed under: uncultured bacterium
Lineage: Bacteria
Description: partial 16S ribosomal RNA
Rfam family: Bacterial small subunit ribosomal RNA
Source: RNAcentral
GAUGAACGCUGGCGGCGUGCCUAACACAUGCAAGUCGAGCGAACAGACGAGGAGGUUGCUCCUCGGUCGUUGGCGGCGGGCGGGUGAGUAACGCGUGGAUAACCUUUCUUAAAGACUGGGAUAACUACGCUAAACCGGAUCUAAUAUCGGAUAAUAUAUGGAACCGUAUGGUUCAAUAGUAUUAGCCGGCUUUGCUGUAAGUAAUUGAUGGAGUCGUGCCUCAUUAGCUAGUUGGUAAGGUAACGGCUUACCAAGGCAACGAUGCGAAGCCGACCUGAGAGGGUGAUCGACCACACGGGAACUGAGGAACAGUCCAGACUCCGACAGGAGGCAGCGGUCGAGAAUCUUCCGCGAUGGGGGAGAGCCUGACGGAGCAACGCCGCGUGAAUGAUGAAGGUCUUCGGAUCGUAAAGCGCUGUUAUUAGGGAAGAACAAAUGUGUAAGUAACUAUGAACGUCUUGACGGUACCUAAACAGAAAGCCACGGCUAACUACGUG